This 76-nucleotide transfer RNA is filed under the name Actinocatenispora sera. RNAcentral's name for it is "tRNA-Leu". It matches the Rfam family "tRNA". Rfam says of the family: Transfer RNA (tRNA) molecules are approximately 80 nucleotides in length. Their secondary structure includes four short double-helical elements and three loops (D, anti-codon, and T loops). The record is from RNAcentral. Lineage: Bacteria; Bacillati; Actinomycetota; Actinomycetes; Micromonosporales; Micromonosporaceae.
GCCCGGGUAGCCCAACUGGCAGGAGGCGCUUGGUUCAGGACCAGGACAGUGUGCGUUCGAAUCGCACCCCGGGUAC